UAUUUGUCUCCUUCUUUUCCAGUUUCUGUGCCUGAAGAACAUCCGAACAUUCCUGAAAGUGUGCCAUGAUAAGUUUGGCCUGAGGAACAGCGAGCUGUUUGACCCCUUCGAUCUCUUUGACGUGAGGGACUUUGGGAAGGUGAUCUCUGCGCUGUCCAGAAUCUCCCACAACAGCAUUGCACAGAUCAAAGGCAUCAGGCCCUUUCCAUCAGAGGACACAGCGCUGAAUGAAGAUGAUGUGUACCGGAGCUUGGAGGAGCUGGCAGAGUAAGUGUUUUAAAUCAUAGAAACAGAAUAUAAUGGUAAUGAAUAAAU
Carassius auratus (goldfish) is the source of this 315-nucleotide long non-coding RNA. RefSeq lists it as uncharacterized. The record is from RefSeq and is a predicted model, not a curated record. Lineage: Eukaryota; Metazoa; Chordata; Actinopteri; Cypriniformes; Cyprinidae. The transcript is spliced from 3 exons.